AUUUGAUUCAUCAGGCUGCAGGAUGAGAUCAAGGGCAAGCAGCAGGAUUGUGCCUUACCCCCACUGCGAUAGCCAACACCAGCUGACCAUCAGCAUUCACACCAAGACCACUGUGGAGGAUCGAGAAUCUCGAUGGCUUCACCUUUACAAAGAUUUGAACCUUCUCACUCAGCCUAGUAUUAGUUCAUAUUUAUUGAGUCUAAGAAGAAUAAUAUACAUUUACAUUUUGAAAGUACAAUCCCAUUUAUUAAUAAUUAUCAUAACAAUUGUAAUAAGUGAUAAAUAGUUCUUACAUUUUGUCAAGCAAAAAUGCUGAACUGUGCCAUAUUUCUUUAUCAUAUUAUCACAGCAAGCUGUUUCUUUUUGGUUUUAGACUAUUGGUUGGUCAUAACACACACUCUGAAGGAAUCACUGUGGGGUCUAGGAAGUAUUGAGAGUCUAUACUGACACAUUAUUUGAUCAUUUAAUUUUAUGAACUUCAGUUAAUUGAUAUUACAGCUUAUUAUUUCAAUUGGAAAUUGUUGACAAUGUAAAAAGGUGAGUCAACAUUACCAUUGAGAACUGUAUGUUGAUGGUUACAUGUUUUUGUAAAAUUUCUGUGUGUUUGUCCAUGAUAUUUUAAAUUAGCCCCUACCUAGUUUCUUUUUUUUUUUUUUGAGAUUUGGGACAAGUCUGCUCCAUCCUUCAGUUCCACUUCCUUUGGGGCUCUACAUCACAUGACUCGGAUGGUUCAAACCACACAGCGGAUUAAAAAGAUACCAUAUGGAAUGUUUACCAUGUUUACCCUGCUGUAAAUGGUUGUUUACCCUUUUGUGAAAAAACAGUAAACACAUGUUUAAAAAAAAAAAAAAAUAUAUAUAUAUAUAUAUAUAUAUAUAUAUAUAUAUAUAUAUAUACACACACACACACACAUAUAUAUAUAUAUACAUAGUAUAAGUAUCCUUUAAGUGCUCUGAAACUGGUUCUUAUCUGAGGGUGGAUGACCAUUACACUGUAAAACUAAUUUGCAAUGCUGACAUAUUCUGAUAUUUAGCUGCGAUAUUGCCUGUAUGUACACAUUUGACCUUUUUUUGUGUUUGCAUGCUUAUAUUUGCUAAUUAGCACUAAACACAAGUAGAGGUGAGACUUUGAGGAAAGUUGUUAGUUGUGUGGGUGUUUGGUCUUUAACCAAAGUAUUGGGCAAAUAACAAUUUGCAUGAGAUAGAAAGAUCUUCAUUGACUAACUUUUUAUGCCUUAAUAAACCGGAUUAACACAUUGUUGACUGAAUAAACAAACUGACCUUAAAGGACAACAGAAUUUCAUUUGCAUUUUUUUCAUCUUGUUGUGGGGAACUAAUUUUCCUCGGAGAACAGCUUGUCUAUUCAGUUUUGGAAAAAAAGAAAUUUGUGAACUCAUUAAUAUUCAGAUAUCAGAUACAUAUCAGACAUGCUUCUGUCUGCCACAGGCUGACAAGGACACUCUUGUUUCACUAAGAAAUGUUCUGUUAAAUUGGACUUUUUAUGAUCUACAAGUUUGACUUGAGUUUCAAGGAUAUAAAAAGGGUCCUGUAAAGCUACACCCACUAUGUUUAUCAAUGGUAUUUUGACUGUGUGAAGAUGAUAAAGCUGCAGCAAGAAACAUAAAAUGUUUGACGUCAGAUUCUUCUGAUAAGAAAACUGGAUUCCAGAAACAAUAAAGACCCAUUAUGUACACUGUUGGUCAUCAUCUUUAUCCCUCACCUUCAUUUAUACCAAAAGAGGCACCAGCUGGUAUAAAGCAGUUUAUUUUGUUUUUGUUCAGUUGUUGAGCAUUAAGAAGUGACAACAAUCAUCAAUUCAGCUUCUCUAUAUCCUAAACUUACAUGUGUUUACAAACUCACAGAUUUUUCAGCAACAAAUGUUUUUUAAUUUGACAAAAAGUUGUUAUCGAUUUCCUUAUCAGUUACUGGUUUUGAUUUCUGAGGAAAGAAAAGGACACAAAGCAAAGCUCAUUUCAGGGUUGUUCUAUGAAGUACAAUGAAGUGACUCAGAUGACAGAAACGCAAACAAGGAAAUAUCUUAAACUGUCAGCGUUGGCUUGCAACAGAAUGAGUCAUGGUCAGAUAAGAAAAGGCUAUGAUCAGGGUUUAGGGUGUGAUGAUGCGAAUAAAUGUAACAGAGGGAAAAAAAAAAAACAUUUCACAACAAAACUCAACAUAUCUACUCAAGUUACCACCUGAUUAAGAUGAAGUUCUGUCCAGUCAAGUCAAGUAUAUUUCUACAGCACGUUUAAAA
Molecule: long non-coding RNA, 2253 nt
Organism: Acanthopagrus latus (yellowfin seabream)
Lineage: Eukaryota; Metazoa; Chordata; Actinopteri; Spariformes; Sparidae
Exons: 2
Source: RefSeq, a predicted model, not a curated record